CCCUUGUAAUGGACCCGUAGUAGACUGUCAUGAAGAGGGCAAUCCAUGGGAAACUCACCUCUUCCAUCACGAAGCCGACGCUUCAUCAGGCGCCCAUCUCCUAGCAUGUCCCGCACCUGAGUAAAACGGACAAGCUCCACUUCAAAAUGAACUUCAUCAAAACCUUCUACCAGAGACAUGAGAGGAGACUCAGUCAAGUACUGAUUGGUAACAUAUAUAACUGCUUUCUCUUCUCGUGUCAUUGUUCCCAUCCCCAUCUCAAGGCCUUUAGGUACCUCAGAUUUCCCAAAAGUAAA
This 296-nucleotide unclassified non-coding RNA is filed under the name Hevea brasiliensis (rubber tree). Lineage: Eukaryota; Viridiplantae; Streptophyta; Magnoliopsida; Malpighiales; Euphorbiaceae. The record is from RNAcentral.